Molecule: ribosomal RNA, 1308 nt
Filed under: metagenome
Description: SSU rRNA
Rfam family: Eukaryotic small subunit ribosomal RNA
Source: RNAcentral
AGGCGGUUCUCUAAGAGGCCCGCUAUCGGAAUGGGCACAAUUUAAACCCUUUAACGAGGACCUAUGAGAGGGCAAGUCUGGUGCCAGCAGCCGCGGUAAUUCCAGCUCUCAAGGUGUAUAUCGCCAUUGCUGCGGUUAAAAAGCUCGUAGUUGGAUCUGCGCCUUCGGACUCGGUCCUCCCAACGGGUGCGAACUGAGCUCCAAGGCUACUACUGCUGGUUUUCCCUUGAUGCUCUUCACUGGGUGUCUUGGGUGGCUAGCGAGUUUACUUUGAAAAAAUUAGAGUGCUCAAAACAGGCUAUUGCCUGAAUACCGGUGCAUGGAAUAAUAGAAUAGGAUCUCGGUCCUAUUUUGUUGGUUUUCGGAACUGAGAUAAUGGUUAAGAGGGACAGACGGGGGCAUUCGUAUCGCUGCGUGAGAGGUGAAAUUCUUGGACCGCAGCGAGACGCCCAACUGCGAAAGCAUUUGCCAAGAAUGUCUUCGUUAAUCAAGAACGAAAGUCAGAGGUUCGAAGGCGAUCAGAUACCGCCCUAGUUCUGACCGUAAACGAUGCCAACUAGCGAUCCGCCGGUGGUAAUUACGCCCCGGCGGGGAGCUUCCCGGAAACGAAAGUCUUCCGGUUCCGGGGGAAGUAUGGUUGCAAAGCUGAAACUUAAAGGAAUUGACGGAAGGGCACCACCAGGAGUGGAGCUUGCGGCUUAAUUUGACCCAACACGGGAAAACUCACCCGGCCCGGACACCGUAAGGAUUGACAGAUUGAGAGCUCUUUCUUGAUUCGGUGGUUGGUGGUGCAUGGCCGUUCUUAGUUGGUGGAGCGAUUUGUCUGGUUUAUUCCGAUAACGAACGAGACUCUGGCCUACUAACUAGUGACAGAAUUAUUGCUGUUCUGGUUACUUCUUAGAGGGACAAGAGGUGUUCAGCCACACGAAAUUGAGCAAUAACAGGUCUGUGAUGCCCUUAGAUGUCCGGGGCUGCACGCGUGCUACACUGGAGGAAACAGCAUGCAAAACCAUUGCCGAGAGGCAUUGGUAAACCCGAGAAAAUCUUCCGUGAUCGGGAUCGGGAAUUGCAAUUAUUUCCCUUGAACGAGGAAUUCCCAGUAAGUGUGGGUCAUCAGCUCGCGCUGAUUACGUCCCUGCCCUUUGUACACACCGCCCGUCGCUGCCCGGGACUGAGCCUUUUCGAGAAAAGCGGGGACUGCUGCUGUUGGGGCUUUCGGGCCUUGGCUUCGGUGGAAACCGCUUUAAUCGCAGUGGCUUGAACCGGGCAAAAGUCGUAACAAGGUUUCCGUAGGUGAACCUGCGGAAG